GAUUGCACGCCGCGAGGACUCUGAGUGCGAUCGAUCUCAAACUCACCACCAGAUCGCGACUCCCCAUUCUUCAAUCCCUCCAAAAUCGACGCCACCCCCUCUCCAAAUCCGCCACCCCCUUCCCGAUCUCAACCUCCGCAAGGGUUUCAAUGGGGAAGGGCGGCCAGGAUCACGGCAUCGCCGCCACCCCCGCCGCCGCCGACACCUUCCCGGCCUGGGCCCGCACCAUCCCCGAAUGCGAAUCCCACUUCUCCGUCUCCGCCGCUGUCGGCCUCUCCUCCGACGAAG
Molecule: unclassified non-coding RNA, 288 nt
Filed under: Hevea brasiliensis (rubber tree)
Lineage: Eukaryota; Viridiplantae; Streptophyta; Magnoliopsida; Malpighiales; Euphorbiaceae
Source: RNAcentral